AAUUGUCCAGCCUCCAAUGAAAUCCACACAGAAAAUAGACUGCAACUACUAGGGUUUCUCUCUUGUGCCAGCAAGAAUAAUUAAAAACUUAUGGACCUCAAACCCUAGCUAUGUAUAUAUAUAUAAACCCAAACGGACCCGGCAUGAGUUAAUAGGAUUAGCUCGCGCGUGCUUAUGGUGGGACUCUUGUACCCUUCUCUUUUGCCUCACUCUCUAUAACUAAGCACUCCGGUUGAGGGCACAAUUCUCUUGAAUCUGUGCUAAAAAGAAGUGGAAGAUGAGUGAUACUGGAUAUAGCGGUGGAUCAAGUCCGGAUAACGGCAACGGCAACGGCAACGGCGCUGAUAACAACCCAAAUCGUGGCCAGGGUAGGGGCCGUGCGACGUUUGCCGCCACCAAGAUGAAGCCGCCACAACGGGGAAAAGUUUUUAAAAAGAUCUUUGCUGAUUUGACUGGACAUCCUGCUUCUCAGCCUGCACCCAAUUGAGGUUCAAUUAGUGGUGGCUAAUAUGUAAAUAGUAUGUGGCUUUUGCUUGUGGUUCUACUCUUCUAGAGGACUUUCAUUGUUGCUCUGUUCGAUCCAGUUAUCAAUAAAUCUCAGUUCCUCUGUAUCUGUUAACUGCAUCUGUUGACAGUUAUGUGGCUUUUGCUUAUGGUAUUAGUCUUCUAAUGUGUGUUUGUCACCCAUUAUUUGGGAGAAUCUUUAUCUAACAGUGAUUGAUGUUGAAAUAUGUGGUUAAAAAAAAAAAGUUUUUGAUUUACCAUAAUAUUAUUUUAAUGAAGAAUAAGUGGCUUAAAAUGAGUAACGUGGGGAAAAUAAUAAGAGAAAAUGGAUCACAAACUGGGGCUUAAUGUUAAAUAUUAAUUAAUGACUGUAAUAUGAAUGAAUUCUU
RNAcentral lists this long non-coding RNA (893 nucleotides) under Olea europaea (common olive). Its description in RNAcentral is "long non-coding RNA (OEUR_LNC006821)". Lineage: Eukaryota; Viridiplantae; Streptophyta; Magnoliopsida; Lamiales; Oleaceae. The record is from RNAcentral.